GACGAACGCUGGCGGCGUGCUUAACACAUGCAAGUCGAACGGAAAGGCCCUGCUUGCAGGGUGCUCGAGUGGCGAACGGGUGAGUAACACGUGGGUGAUCUGCCCCUUACUUUGGGAUAAGCCUGGGAAACGGGGUCUAAUACUGGAUAGGACCAUGCUGUAGGUGGUGUGGUGGGAAGAUUAGUUUCGGUAAGGGAUGAGCUCGCGGCCUAUCAGCUUGUUGGUUGGGUAAUGGCCUACCAAGGCGUCGACGGGUCGCCGGCCUGAGAGGGUGGACGGCCACAUUGGGACUGUGGUACGGCCCAGACUCCUACGGGAGGCCGCGGUGGGGAAUAUUGCACAAUGGGCGCAAGCCUGAUGCAGCGACGCCGCGUGGGGGCUGACGGCCUUCGGGUUGUAAACUCCUUUCAGCCAUGCCGAAGCCCUUGUGGUGACGGUAGUGGUAGAAGAAGCACCGGCUAACUACGUG
This 469-nucleotide ribosomal RNA is filed under the name uncultured bacterium. Its description in RNAcentral is "partial 16S ribosomal RNA". It matches the Rfam family "Bacterial small subunit ribosomal RNA", at positions 28 to 507 of the family's 1533-position model. The record is from RNAcentral.